This 433-nucleotide ribosomal RNA is filed under the name uncultured bacterium. RNAcentral describes it as "partial 16S ribosomal RNA". It matches the Rfam family "Bacterial small subunit ribosomal RNA", at positions 29 to 507 of the family's 1533-position model. The record is from RNAcentral.
AACGAACGCUGGCGGCAUGCCUAACACAUGCAAGUCGAACGAUCCCUUCGUGGCUGUUGUCUCACGGGUGCGUAACGCAUGGGAACCGGCCCUGAGGGUCAGAAUAACUUAGAGAAAUUUGAGCUAAUACCGGAUAAUUUCUUCGGACCGAUGAUUUAUCGCCUUUGGAUGUGCCGGCGUUUGAUUGGCUAGUUGGUGGUGUAAAGGCCUACCAAGGCGACGAUCCAUAGCUGGGAUGAGAGGAUGAUCAGCCACACUGGGACUGAGACACGGCCCAGACCCAUACGGGAGGCAGCAGUGGGGAAUAUUGGACAAUGGGAGAAAGACUGAUCCAGCAAUGCCGCGUGAGUGAUGAAGGCCUUAGGGUUGUAAAGCUCUUUUACACGGGAUGCUAAUGACAGUACCGGGAGAAUAAGCCACGGCUAACUACGUG